CUCAGAAAGAGAGUGAACAACUAGAAGAUGUGGAAGACUGAGUUUGGCUCUGGAGUCAAUAAUUCUCAAAACAGCUUUCUGAACUCUGAAUCGCAGUAAAGCUGGUGUUCUCCUGAAGCCAACAUUUAUGGUAUUACCUUGCUGAUCCAGGCAAAAUGGCAAAAGUAUAGUGAACAUAAAGCCAGGGGCUGAGAUUGUGGGCGUCCUCUGUACCAAGUUUCUGAUUAUGGCAAGGGUAGAAGUUCACCAGGUCAGUAAUGUGAUUUUGUCCGAGGAGCCAUUUCUGGAGAUCUAGCCUAAACAUUGCUCCUCCAACUCUUCCCAUAAUUUGUUAACAAUUAAAUAAUUGUUCUGUUUAAAAUAGUUUGGAUGUUUUAUGUUUUCUGCAACUUUACUGUUAACAUAACAAAGACAUAAAUAAAGAUCUAAAUAAAGUCG
RNAcentral lists this long non-coding RNA (438 nucleotides) under Pongo abelii (Sumatran orangutan). Its description in RNAcentral is "lincRNA". Lineage: Eukaryota; Metazoa; Chordata; Mammalia; Primates; Hominidae. The record is from RNAcentral.